This 200-nucleotide unclassified non-coding RNA is filed under the name Thelephoraceae sp. Its description in RNAcentral is "partial internal transcribed spacer 2". Lineage: Eukaryota; Fungi; Basidiomycota; Agaricomycetes; Thelephorales; Thelephoraceae. The record is from RNAcentral.
UUAAGUUCAGCGGGUAAUCCUACCUGAUUUGAGAUCGAACGUUCAAAAGCUGUCUUCGCUGAGGAAAGACUUUUGUUAGCCCCAGCGAACCUCCGUUGCCGAAGGUUACCUGGCAGACGGCCACAAGCGUAGAUAGUUAUCACACCCGUGACGCCACCAAACACUGGCGAGCUGAUCCAUUUGAGAGGAGCCGACCGCAG